Molecule: unclassified non-coding RNA, 520 nt
Filed under: Hevea brasiliensis (rubber tree)
Lineage: Eukaryota; Viridiplantae; Streptophyta; Magnoliopsida; Malpighiales; Euphorbiaceae
Source: RNAcentral
GCGACCGGCCCCAAAACCCAAAGAAGCGAUCCUUUGUCUUCAGCAAAAGGAGUUGAUACCAAUUUUCCUUCUUCCACCGAUUGGUGAGUCAACCCAUAAAAGGAAGCAGAACCUGAUUUCCCUCCAAAUGGUUCCGAACCAUGAAACCUAUCAGCAGGUACAGCAGCAUCAUCUCGACCCAAAAGCUUCAAAUUUGUGUUUCCACUAGAAUUGGAACUAGAAGCACGUACAAUAACUCCUCUGUUCAAGCAUGAUGACGGAAACCCUUUAAAUACAUUAUCCAAGCCCAGAAUCAGAAAUGAUUUUGAGGCACUUCCAAGCCUUGAAGAAACAGUUUGCUGAUACAAUAAACGAUAAGCUGGAAAUCUGAGUUUUGGAGCAGUAAACCCACGACAAACUGAUUGCAGUUCCAUUUUCUGGGAAGGAUUAUAGGGUUUAAAGGUAACAGUUGGCGAGCUUUCUCCGUUUUGAAUACUUUUUUGGUGAUUCAGGACUUAAACCCUAGAAGCCUAAAUUCUGC